This 200-nucleotide ribosomal RNA is filed under the name uncultured bacterium. RNAcentral's name for it is "partial 16S ribosomal RNA". It matches the Rfam family "Bacterial small subunit ribosomal RNA", at positions 30 to 230 of the family's 1533-position model. The record is from RNAcentral.
AUUGAACGCUGGCGGCGUGCUUAACACAUGCAAGUCGAGCGGUAACGCGGGGGCAACCCUGGUGACGAGCGGCGAACGGGUGAGUAAUGCUUCGGAAUCUUCCUCGUAGUGGGGAAUAACAUGGGGAAACCCAUGCUAAUACCGCAUACGAACUACGGUUGAAAGCAGGGGAUCGCAAGACCUUGCGCUAUGAGAUGAGC